GACGAACGCUGGCGGCGUGCCUAAUACAUGCAAGUUGAGCGAUGAAGCUUGGUGCUUGCUCCUCUUUGAAGAGCAGCGAACGGGUGAGUAACGCGUGGGUAAUCUGCCCUUGAGCGGGGGAUAACUUCUGGAAACGAAUGCUAAUACCGCAUAACAACUUUAAACAUAAGUUUUAAGUUUGAAAGAUGCAAUUGCUUUACUCAAAGAUGAUCCCGCGUUGUAUUAGCUAGUUGGUGAGGUAAAGGCCCACCCAGGCGAAGAGACAUAACCCACCUGGGAGGGGGGACGGCCCCAAUGGGACUGGGACACGGCCCAAACUCCUACGGGAGGCAGCAGGAGGGAAUCUUCGGCAAUGGACGAAAGGCUGACCGGGCAAAGCCGCGGGGGGGAAGAAGGGUCUCGGAACGGAAAACUCGGUUGAUAGGGAAGAACGAUGGGGAGAGUGGAAAGCUCAUCAAGUGACGGUAACUACUCAGAAAGGGACGGCUAACUACGUG
Molecule: ribosomal RNA, 497 nt
Filed under: uncultured bacterium
Lineage: Bacteria
Description: partial 16S ribosomal RNA
Rfam family: Bacterial small subunit ribosomal RNA
Source: RNAcentral